Molecule: long non-coding RNA, 267 nt
Organism: Hibiscus syriacus
Lineage: Eukaryota; Viridiplantae; Streptophyta; Magnoliopsida; Malvales; Malvaceae
Exons: 4
Source: RefSeq, a predicted model, not a curated record
UAUUAUAUCAUUUAUUUGUUUUUUUUUCUCUUUUUUCUUUGAUGAUCAAAUAGGUAAGAGAGCUUUCUUCAGUCCACUUAUGGGUGGAGGUGGGAUUUAAUUAGCUGCCGACUCAUUCAUCCAAAUACUGAGUUAGAAUGGAUCAGCUAAAUGAUACCCAGUAAAUGAGUGAAUGAUGCGGGAGAUAAAUUGAAAUCCUCAACUUCCUGUGCUUGGACUGAAGGGAGCUCCCUCUUCUGUUAUUUUAUCCAUCUUAAACAUUUUAUA